This 233-nucleotide unclassified non-coding RNA is filed under the name fungal sp. RNAcentral's name for it is "partial internal transcribed spacer region". The stretch from base 1 to 46 matches the Rfam family "Eukaryotic small subunit ribosomal RNA", at positions 1786 to 1831 of the family's 1831-position model. RNAcentral also lists the same sequence under 1 other name. Lineage: Eukaryota; Fungi. The record is from RNAcentral.
AAGUCGUAACAAGGUUUCCGUAGGUGAACCUGCGGAAGGAUCAUUACAGAGUUCUUGCCCUUACGGGUAGAUCUCCCACCCUUGAAUACAUACCUUUGUUGCUUUGGCGGGCCGCGCUUGCGCUACUGGCUUCGGUUAGUACGUGCCCGCCAGAGGACCACAACUCUUGUUUUUAGUGAUGUCUGAGUACUAUAUAAUAGUUAAAACUUUCAACAACGGAUCUCUUGGUUCUG